GUCCGCGCGGUAAACGAUGAAUGCUCGGGAUUCGGCUGUUAUGGCUGAGUCCCCCAGCGAAAGCGUUAAGCAUUCCACCUGGGGAGUACGCCGGCAACGGUGAAACUCAAAGGAAUUGACGGGGGCCCGCACAAGCGGAGGAACAUGUGGUUUAAUUCGAUGAUACGCGAGGAACCUUACCCGGGCUUGAAAUGUGCCUGGCGGCCGGCAGAGACGCCGGCCUCCUUCGGGCAGGCAUGUAGGUGCUGCAUGGUUGUCGU
This 260-nucleotide ribosomal RNA is filed under the name uncultured bacterium. RNAcentral's name for it is "partial 16S ribosomal RNA". It matches the Rfam family "Bacterial small subunit ribosomal RNA", at positions 793 to 1055 of the family's 1533-position model. The record is from RNAcentral.